GGGGGGGGGGGGGGGGGGGCUGGGCGGGUGCGGGGCGAGGGGGGAGGCCCUGCUGUUGUGGGGUGCUCGAGUGGCGAACGGGUGAGUAACACGUGAGUAACCUGCGCUUGACUUUGGGAUAACGUCAGGAAACUGGGGCUAAUAGCGGAUAGGAGCUCCUGCUGCAUGGUGGGGGUUGGAAAGUUUCGGCGGUUGGGGAUGGACUCGCGGCUUAUCAGCUUGUUGGUGGGGUAGUGGCUUACCAAGGCUUUGACGGGUAGCCGGCCUGAGAGGGUGACCGGCCACAUUGGGACUGAGAUACGGCCCAGACUCCUACGGGAGGCAGCAGUGGGGAAUAUUGCACAAUGGGCGGAAGCCUGAUGCAGCAACGCCGCGUGCGGGAUGACGGCCUUCGGGUUGUAAACCGCUUUCGCCUGUGACGAAGCGUGAGUGACGGUAAUGGGUAAAGAAGCACCGGCUAACUACGUG
This 468-nucleotide ribosomal RNA is filed under the name uncultured bacterium. Its description in RNAcentral is "partial 16S ribosomal RNA". It matches the Rfam family "Bacterial small subunit ribosomal RNA", at positions 38 to 507 of the family's 1533-position model. The record is from RNAcentral.